RNAcentral lists this small nuclear RNA (108 nucleotides) under Neogale vison (American mink). Lineage: Eukaryota; Metazoa; Chordata; Mammalia; Carnivora; Mustelidae. The record is from RNAcentral.
GUGCUCACUUUGGCAGCAUAUAUACUAAAAUUGGAAAACUACAAGGAAGAUUAGCAUGGCAUCUACACAAGGAUGACAUGGAAUUGGUGAAAAAUCUCCCACCCCGAU